This 2971-nucleotide long non-coding RNA is filed under the name Mytilus galloprovincialis (Mediterranean mussel). Lineage: Eukaryota; Metazoa; Mollusca; Bivalvia; Mytilida; Mytilidae. The record is from RNAcentral.
AGAUCUAAUUAUAAGUAUCACAAAGCUUAUAUAAAAUUAACAAAAGAAAAUUACAAUAAUAAGUUACAUGACCGAUAUGGAAAAUUUGAAUAAUUAAAUUCACCAUAUGGAUGAAAAUGACAAACAUCUAUUUUGCCAUACAAGAAAAACUCUACUUCUAGGCGAGACAAAAUUCCACAACUACAAUUUAGUUUGUUUCUAUAUUACAUACUUUUUUUAAUGUACAUGCUUUAAAUAUGUAAAUAAUGUUUAAAUGCAUAUAUUAAAAUUUCCAUAAUUACAUAUAUAUGAAAAUGAUUAAGCACUAUAAAAAGAGGAUAUAAUAAAAAGACCAACAUGCUUGUUAAAUUAGUUCCCAUUGCACGUUCCCAUGGUAACAAUAUAUACAGGUAUAUAUACAGAUGAUAGAUGUUUGUACAAUGAAUUAUAAUGCAUGAUAUGGUGCUGACCUGCAACUCCAAAAGCAAAACAUGACUUAAUCUUUUAAAACAUUACAUAAUUCCUGUUCCAUGAUAGGAGGUUCAAAAACUGCAUAAGAAUAGACCCAGUACAUUUAUUUAUGAAUCAAACACAGCAUCAUAUUCACUUGGAUCAACCAAUAUGCUCCAGAGUCGAGUUCUUAUACAAAGAUUCUAUGGUUAUUUAGUAAAUAAACCUAACGCCAGAAUUCCAAUCAAAUAACAAAGAUUUUUUUUUUACCAUAAAACAUUUAUAUUAAUAGAGAUCUACUGUAUUAAUACUAUAUUUCUGUAGUCACUUAGAAUAUGUUUUUUUCCUCAAUUAAACAAGAAACAAUGACAGAUUUUAGCCUUAAUGGAAGCACAAUUUGAGAGCUAUAUCUGGAAAUAUAAAAGCUUAAAGAGACUUAAAAUGAUAUAACCACUGCAUGUUGACAUCAGAAAAUUGAGAAUUAAAUGAGAGUUUCAACAGUUACUUUGUAUUUACUGGACACUAUGAUGAGUUGGACACGUUACAUUAUGUCGAAUUGGUAUCUAGUGCAACUACCCCAUUACGACAUGAAUAAUACAAAAUUGUGAUCCAUUAUACUUGUGACCACUCAAAGCUGGGUGACUGAAUAAGGCUUGCAAAAGAAAUAUUUAAAUUCAAUAUGCAAUAGGUGUGGAGUCUAUUUAUGGCACCAUCAACCACAGUUAAAACAUGCAAAUACUGAUAAUUCCAGCACCUUAGGACAUUUAUGGCCUUUAUAAAAUGGAGAUCAUUUGUACAUUUAGCUUGAAAAUAAUGUCAUUGACUAAUAAAGCACUGAACUUGAAUGCUGAUACUUCAGAAAAAUACUGAAUGACUUUAAUGAUGACUUAUAGAUCUUUGAAAAUAAAAUCUUUUUUUUCUUCAAAUAUAUUGAUUUGUAUAAAAAAUUUUUUUUUUACAGAAAUAAAAUAUUAGAUUGAAAAUAAUAUUUUCAAGCUGAUGCAGAUACUAAUAAAUAACCCAAGGCUGGGAAUUGGUUGACAUUUCCAUCACAAAUGCAUCAAGUAGACUGAGAUAUAUAAUUACCUUAAUAUUAAACUGACUGAAAACAUGAAAAAAACAAAACAAAUAAGAUUACUGAGGCAUUGUAGGUUACAUGAAGAUAAUGGCAUGUGGUAACACCUUAUACGUGUUUGUUACGUUAUAUUUCAAUGGACUGAUUUCCUGUCAAUGUGGAUCAAUAACCAUACAACAUACCGUAAUAAGAUGUCAAUAGAAACAGUGGAAAUUAGUCCACAAUUCCGUCAAACUUAUAUUGUUGUGUAAAAUUGUAUUUAGGUCAGUUAAUAUGUUCCACGCAAAGAUUUACAUGUUAUUUCCAUAUUUUAUUAUUCUUUUUAAUGCAUGAUGAUUUUAUUACCAUAAAUAUCUAUUGAUUUUUUACAUUUCUAUAAAAAUUCUUUGUUCUUUCAAAAUUGCUUAGCUUAGUUAUUUUUCUUGUAUGUAUGGAAACAACUGGUAAUAAAUUUACAGCUUUUCUAUGGCAAUGCACUUGGUACUAGGUCUUUUCUUGACGUAAAACUGAGUUGCUUUUUACUUUGUCUACAGUCAAACUGAAAGAUUACAAUGUUCUCCUGAUUUGAAUAGCUUUUCUUUCCAUCAAAGCCCUUUUACAUGACAGAUCAUGGCUGUUGUUUAUGGAUUAGAGUGAGUGAACACGGCAGUGAAAAAGGAAAAUAAUCUUUGUUACUUUUCUUGUAUGUACGGAAAUAACUGACAAUAAAUCUUCAGCUUUUGUAGGGAAAUGCACUUGGUAUGUUUUUCAAAGUAAAAGAAAAUAUUACAAUUAUACUCCUGAUUUAAAUAGCUUGUCUUUCCAUCAAAGCCCCUUUAACAUGACAUGCCAUGGCUGUUGUUACUUGAUUAAAGUGAGCAAACAGGACAGUGAAAAAGAAAACAAUCUUUGUGCUGAAACAUUAAGGUGUCAUUCCCAGACAAAGUUUUUAAUACUGAACAAAAGUCAAAUUUUAAUACUGUUGAUAGCCAAUACAUUUAACUACUUCUGCUAGCUAGAAUUCAUGAUACGAUUUUAAAAAAAUGUUUCUAAAUGAAUAUAAUACACAAAAGUGAAAAGCAAUGGUUUCUGAUAUACACCAUAUUAGAUGUUGAUAGAAACAUGUAUAUGGUAACUUAUAUAUGUAGCUUGAUAUCCUAUUCAUGGGUAAACAAAAUAUAUGAUUAACUUAGGUUCUUGAGUAUUAUAUUGUUAAUUCCCACAUUAUCCAACAUAAAUGCUGUUAUUUCAUAUAAAUAUUCUAUUCAAUUAUCUGAAUAAAUACUUCAUAAUAUUUUUCAGCAAAAGCAUAUAAGUAUGUUAUCUUAGAAACUUUGGAACAAAACUUUGUUAUGGAUAAAAAUAAAACAGAAUUUCUUUUCUUUUUCCUAGAUUAUAUGUUUCUCCAUUUCCUAAUUUAAACUGUUAUGCAUUCUUGAAAUAAUUAAAAUUAUUCUUAUAUUAGAAAAGUAGACUUUGUCUAAUAAU